GAUGAAGAACGUAGCGAAAUGCGAUACGUAAUGUGAAUUGCAAAUUCAGUGAAUCAUCGAGUCUUUGAGCGCACAUUGCGCCCCCUGGUAUUCCGGGGGGCAUGCCUGUCCGAGCGUCAUUGCUGCCCUCAAGCACGGCUUGUGUGUUGGGCCCCGUCCUCCGAUCCCGGGGGACGGGCCCGAAAGGCAGCGGCGGCACCGCGUCCGGUCCUCGAGCGUAUGGGGCUUUGUCACCCGCUCUGUAGGCCCGGCCGGCGCUUGCCGAUCAACCCAAAUUUUUUAUCCAGGUUGACCUCGGAUCAGGUAGGGAUACCCGCUGAACUUAAGCAUAUCAAUAAGCGGAGGA
This 346-nucleotide unclassified non-coding RNA is filed under the name soil metagenome. Its description in RNAcentral is "partial contains 5.8S ribosomal RNA, internal transcribed spacer 2, and large subunit ribosomal RNA". The stretch from base 1 to 119 matches the Rfam family "5.8S ribosomal RNA", at positions 35 to 154 of the family's 154-position model. The record is from RNAcentral.